GGGCCUGUAGCUCAGUUGGUUAGAGCACUACAUUUGCAAUGUAGGGGUCAGGAGUUCGAAUCUCCUCGGGUCCACCA
Molecule: transfer RNA, 77 nt
Filed under: candidate division WWE3 bacterium CG08_land_8_20_14_0_20_41_15
Lineage: Bacteria; candidate division WWE3
Description: tRNA-Ala
Rfam family: tRNA
About the family: Transfer RNA (tRNA) molecules are approximately 80 nucleotides in length. Their secondary structure includes four short double-helical elements and three loops (D, anti-codon, and T loops).
Source: RNAcentral